CACGUGUUGAAUGUUUUUAUUACAUUUUUCUGAGUAUUAAUGAUAAGAAUUCAAACAAUAUAGAAAUCUUAAAUAUAUCAAAUACAAUCUUCCCUCCAGUACAAGUCUCUAUACUAUGAGGCAAUAAAAACACACCCCGGAAAAUGAGGUGAUCUCCAUCAAUUGCCACUCCACUAAGAGUGAAGUCUGUACACUAUACUCUGUCAUAUGACACAAAUACACACAUGUAAACACUCUGUUUCUCGCCCUUUCAUUCUCUCACACACAUAAACACUGAACUUUACACAAUGUAAUAUACAGUUAAUUACAAUCAUUGAUGAAUUUGUAGAAUGAUAUCCUGUCCUCUUUCUACCAUCGAUUUAUCAGACAAAACACUUCAUGAAUGUAUGAGAUUGCCCAUGGUCGUCACUCAUCACAUCCUUACACAUUCACUGGCCUCACUAAUUUACUUUACUAUUUCUAUUAUGACAAAAAGUUAUGUCUUUCACAUACAUACAUAUACAUUCCUUUUCCCUUGUUCCUCUGUGGUUAUAGAGGAACUUGACAAUGUUAACAAAUAAACAUUAUAAAUAAUGAGGGGGAAAAGCAGACAACCAAACUGAUUCAUUUACAAGUUCAAAAUGACAUCAAGAAAGUGACAUCAGGCCAUCCAUAGUCUGUUGUGCUCAGUGCUGUCCCCCCCUCCACCAGAACAGUUCUGUAACUGUGUGAUCAACAGGGAAGGGACACUGGACCUGGCUGUGGAGAGCAGUUGCUCCACAUCUCUCAUGUCUGAUAACUUGUGGCAACGUGUUAGGAAGCUUAAAGUGCAAGCGAUAGUUCUGCCUGGUUGGAUGGAGCGGCCACCUAGCCGAGGCUAGGGUUGGGCAUCCUCCUAAGCCUGCCUCAGUGCCUGAAGUUGUGGAUGUCAUUGUGCAGGCUGACAGAGGGCCUUGAGGGGGAACUGUGAUUGUGGCAGCUCUUCUUGCAGCUGCAGCUCUGGAUCCACAUGACGUUGCGUGUGAAGCCCUCUCCGUCGGGACAUUGGAAGCGCAGGCGGACGGUGCGGGUCAGUGAAGGGGUGCAGCAUCGCCCGUCCGCACAGGAGCCACAGGUGUGAGGCCGAUGGCGGCGUGUUGUGGAGCAGCCAGCAAAGUUGAUCCUGAUUGGCUCCUGGGGGCGCACUGUACGCUGGCACUUCUUUACCCU
Molecule: long non-coding RNA, 1188 nt
Filed under: Salmo salar (Atlantic salmon)
Lineage: Eukaryota; Metazoa; Chordata; Actinopteri; Salmoniformes; Salmonidae
Description: lncRNA (ENSSSAG00000097991.1)
Source: RNAcentral